RNAcentral lists this ribosomal RNA (253 nucleotides) under uncultured bacterium. RNAcentral describes it as "partial 16S ribosomal RNA". It matches the Rfam family "Bacterial small subunit ribosomal RNA", at positions 524 to 776 of the family's 1533-position model. The record is from RNAcentral.
UACGGGGGGAGCAAGCGUUGUUCGGAUUUACUGGGCGUAAAGGGCGCGUAGGCGGCGCGACAAGUCACUUGUGAAAUCUCUGGGCUCAACCCAGAACGGUCAAGUGAUACUGUCGUGCUAGAGUACAGAAGGGGCAACUGGAAUUCUCGGUGUAGCGGUGAAAUGCGUAGAUAUCGAGAGGAACACCUGCGGCGAAGGCGGGUUGCUGGGCUGAUACUGACGCUGAGGAGCGAAAGCUAGGGGAGCAAACGGG